This 62-nucleotide transfer RNA is filed under the name Metoecus cf. javanus JL-2021a. Its description in RNAcentral is "tRNA-Ser". The record is from RNAcentral. Lineage: Eukaryota; Metazoa; Arthropoda; Insecta; Coleoptera; Ripiphoridae.
GAAAUAAUUAAAAUCUAAGCUUCUAACUUAGAAUAAAGCGAAUGUACUUCGUUUAUAUUUCU